GCUUAAAGGGGCCGUAGCUGGCCGGACAAAUCUCCGGGUAAAUCGGGCGGCCCAACCGUCCGAAUUCCGGAGACACUGUUCGGCUUGGGAUCGGGAGAGGGUGAAGGUACUCUCGGGGUAGGGGUAAAAUCCUGUAAUCCGGAGGGGACCACCAGUGGCGAAGGCGUUCACCUAGAACGAAUCCGACAGUGAGGGACGAAGCCCUAGGGCGCAAACGGGAUUAGAUACCCCGGUAGUCUAGGGUGUAAACUCUGCAGACUUGGUGUUGGGGGUCCUGCGUGGGCUCCCAGUGCCGGAGUGAAGAUGUUAAGUCUGCCGCUUGGGGAGUACGGUCGCAAGACUGAAACUUAAAGGAAUUGGCGGGAGAGCACCGCAACGGGAGGAGCGUGCGGUUCAAUUGGAUUCAACGCCGGAAAACUCACCGGGGGCGACGGAGGGAUGAAAGCCAGGCCGAAGACCUUGCCCGAUCCUCCGAGAGGUGGUGCAUGGCCAUCGUCAGUUCGUACCGUAAGGCGUUCUGUUAAGUCAGAUAACGAACGAGACCCUCGCCUUCAGUCGCUAUCUCACGAGUGGUCGUGAGAGCACACUGAGGGGAUCGCUGCCGCUAAGGCAGAGGAAGGAGAGGUCUACGGUAGGUCCGCAUGCCCCGAA
This 651-nucleotide ribosomal RNA is filed under the name uncultured archaeon. RNAcentral describes it as "bacterial SSU rRNA". It matches the Rfam family "Archaeal small subunit ribosomal RNA", at positions 508 to 1160 of the family's 1478-position model. The record is from RNAcentral.